GAUGAACGCUGGCGGCGUGCCUAAUACAUGCAAGUCGAGCGAACGGACGCGAAGCUUGCUUCUCUGAUUUUAGCGGCGGACGGGUGAGUAACACGUGGAUAACCUACCUAUCAGACUGGGAUAACUUCGGGAAACCGGAGCUAAUACCGGAUAAUAUUUUGAACCGCAUGGUUCAAAAGUGAAAGACGGUCUUGCUGUCACUUAUAGAUGGAUCCGCGCUGCAUUAGCUAGUUGGUAAGGUAACGGCUUACCAAGGCAACGAUGCAUAGCCGACCUGAGAGGGUGAUCGGCCACACUGGAACUGAGACACGGUCCAGACUCCUACGGGAGGCAGCAGUAGGGAAUCUUCCGCAAUGGGCGAAAGCCUGACGGAGCAACGCCGCGUGAGUGAUGAAGGUAUUCGGAUCGUAAAACUCUGUUAUUAGGGAAGAACAAAUGUGUAAGUAACUGUGCACGUCUUGACGGUAUCUAAUCAGAAAGCCACGGCUAACUACGUG
Molecule: ribosomal RNA, 497 nt
Filed under: uncultured bacterium
Lineage: Bacteria
Description: partial 16S ribosomal RNA
Rfam family: Bacterial small subunit ribosomal RNA
Source: RNAcentral